AUCUAGCUACUCUGGUAGGGCCUUGGA
Molecule: non-coding RNA, 27 nt
Filed under: Homo sapiens (human)
Lineage: Eukaryota; Metazoa; Chordata; Mammalia; Primates; Hominidae
Source: RNAcentral